AUAAAUAUGUGUUAAUUAAGCUUUAAUUUUGAUUUUGAUAAAUGUUAGGGUUAUGAAAUUUGUGUUUUGAGUUUGAUUUAUGAGUUAAUUUGGAUGUUGUAGGGUUAAUUGUUGUGGGUAUUUGAUUAUUUGGUUGAUUUUGAGAGAUUGAAUUGAAAGAUGAUGAUUUUGAGUUAUGAUUUUGUUUGAAUGGUGAAUUUGUGUUAGAAAUAAGGAAAGAACAGUGGGUUUUCUGUUGGAAUUCUGGGUUGGAGGUUGAAGAUGACAAAAUUUCGGUUUGGUCCCUCAAUUUUGGAAAAUUACAGUUUAGUCCCCAAACUUUGGAAAAUUUGCAGAUUGGUCCCUGGAGCCUAUUCCGAGAAUCUGAACAGAAUAACAUAUGAAUUAUGGACAGAAUUAUUGUAUAGAUAAGAGAAUUUAACACUUUCAAUUUGGUCCUCCAAUUUGAUAAAAAUUACAAUUUGACCCUAAAAAAAUUUGGUAAAAUUCCAGAAUGGUCCUUGGAGUAUAAUGAGAUGAUCUGGACAGAAAUGAGGACUAAUUAUGGUCAGAAUUUCAGUAUAUUCAUGGAUUUAUGAUAAAUUUCAGUUUGGUCCUCCAAUUAGACAAAAAUUACAAUUUGGCCCUAAAAAUAGGAUAAAUUACAGAUUGGUCCCUAGCUGUAAUAUUAGCUUUUCAGAUUAGUUUGAUGAAUAAUUAAGGGUUAUUUAGUGAAUUAUUGCCAAUUUUAUUAGUUGUUUUAUUAUGGAUUAGAUUUCGGGAAAACCGUUAAAUUUUGAGUUUUUGAGAAAAUUGACUAGUUAGUUCAAAAACAUAUAGGGUUACGGAAUACAUCAUUAGUUAAGUUUAUUAAAUAGGUUAAAUGUUCUUUUGAGUCGUUCUUGAAUAUGUCUCCUUUGUAUUCAGAUAAUCCUGAUAUUCUACCGACAGGACGUCAGUAGGAUUUUCUUCGGUGUCUGCUUUUGGCUUCUGUUUGCUUUUGAGUCAGGCUUAUAGCUUGAUAGCAGGUUACUUUUGUUGAACCUUCCGAACCUGCUUUUUGGUUGUAAUUUGUACCUUCUUUUUUUUGUCAAGUUAGUGCUCCAAAACUAUGUAUUAUAUUAACUCUUGUAUUAAGACAAUUCAAUUAUAUUAGGAAGUUGAUUUUGUUAUUAA
Long non-coding RNA from Populus trichocarpa (black cottonwood), 1155 nucleotides. RefSeq lists it as uncharacterized. The transcript is spliced from 2 exons. The record is from RefSeq and is a predicted model, not a curated record. Lineage: Eukaryota; Viridiplantae; Streptophyta; Magnoliopsida; Malpighiales; Salicaceae.